RNAcentral lists this ribosomal RNA (630 nucleotides) under Triticum aestivum (bread wheat). RNAcentral describes it as "partial small subunit ribosomal RNA". Lineage: Eukaryota; Viridiplantae; Streptophyta; Magnoliopsida; Poales; Poaceae. The record is from RNAcentral.
AUGGAGGCUUCCUUUCGUGGUAGAAAGACUUAUGCCACUCAAAAUGUGAUGGCAGUUGUAGAUUUUGAUCUUCGAUUCACAUAUGUGUUGGCCGGGUGGGAGGGGACAACACAUGAUGCUCUAGUUUUAUGUGAUGCUUUAGAACGUGAAAAUGGUCCACGUGUCCCACAAGGGAAAUUUUAUCUAGUUGAUGCUGGAUAUGGAGCCAAACAUGGUUUUUUGCCUCCUUUUCGUGGUGUGAGGUACCACUUGAAUGAGUGGGGAAACAACCCUGUGCAAAAUGAGAGGGAGUUGUUCAACCUUAGGCAUUCUUCUCUUCGUGUGACUGUAGAACAUGCAUUUGGGUCAUUGAAGAGAAGAUUCAAGAUACUUGAUGAUGCCACUCCAUUCUUUCUGUUUCCAACACAAGUUGACAUUGUUGUGGCUUGUUGCAUUAUUCACAAUUGGGUUAUAAAUGAUGGGAUAGAUGAAUAUAUCAUACCCGAGGAUGAAUGGGUGCCAAAUAUUACUCAUGCUUCAUCAUCAAGUGGUCAAGCACAUGAACAUGCAUACAUGGUUAAUUUUAGGCAAGGAGUUGCUGAUCAAAUGUGGGAAGACCGACAAAACCAUUUGCAAGGUCAAAAUAUGUAG